GACGAACGCUGGCGGCGUGCUUAACACAUGCAAGUCGAACGGAAAGGCCCUGCUUUUGUGGGGUGCUCGAGUGGCGAACGGGUGAGUAACACGUGAGUAACCUGCCCUUGACUUUGGGAUAACUUCAGGAAACUGGGGCUAAUACCGGAUAGGAGCUCCUGCUGCAUGGUGGGGGUUGGUUAGUUUCGGCGGUUGGGGAUGGACUCGCGGCUUAUCAGCUUGUUGGUGGGGUAGUGGCUUACCAAGGCUUUGACGGGUAGCCGGCCUGAGAGGGGGACCGGCCACAUUGGGACUGAGAGACGGCGCAGACUCGUACGGGAGGCAGCAGUGGGGAAUAUUGCACAAUGGGCGGAAGCCUGAUGCAGCAACGCCGCGUGCGGGAUGACGGCCUUCGGGUUGUGAACCGCUUUCGCCUGUGACGAAGCGUGAGUGACGGUAAUGGGUAAAGAAGCACCGGCUAACUACGUG
Molecule: ribosomal RNA, 468 nt
Filed under: uncultured bacterium
Lineage: Bacteria
Description: partial 16S ribosomal RNA
Rfam family: Bacterial small subunit ribosomal RNA
Source: RNAcentral